GAUCGGGUAUUCACCCGAAAAUCCGUUUUCGGGUCGAACAGCCGCUCGGUGGUGGCGAGGAAGGGUCCCGCAGAAAGAAAACCCAUUAGAUAUGGUUUGCGCUUAAAUGAAGCAAUCCUCCCUCUCUCUCUGUGUCGGUAACGAAAUGGAUAUUUGUUCGAUCCCCAGGUGAAAGACUCAAAAAACGCGUCGAAGGCAAUAGAUUAGAGACUGCGAGAGAGUAUAGUAUCAUAGAGUAAUGGUUAGAAGAGUACGAGAUGAGAACAAGGCCGAGAUCUUCUUCGUGGCUACCCUGGUGCUGUGGUUCGUUUCGGUUUUGUUCGAAGUAGUAUUCAACAAGCGGAAGGAGCUCCUCAGUAUACUCGCUGGCUGUUGCUUUUUUCAAACGGCCAACUGGUUCAUCCACUUUUUCUUCUCUCCGGAUCCUCUAUUCGUUAAUACUUCCGUCUCUCUCCUUCACUCAUCAAUCACCUCCGCCUCUGUGGUAUUCAUUUUGGUUAAUGAGUGGUUGAAAAAUGGAUCGUAUGGGAUGUUUGAUCACUCACAGUUGUUUGGGGGAACUUGGCCGUGGGCAUAUCCCACUUUGUGCUUCUCAUGUGGUUACUUUGCAUAUGAUCAGUGGGAUAUGCUGCAUUAUCGGUUAUACAAUGGUUGGAUCCCUGCCAUCUUAUUCCAUCAUCUGAUACUCCUGAUCUGUUUUUCUCUUGCUUUAUAUCGAAAUGUCACCAUCAACUACCUCAUUCUCACUCUCAUUUGUGAGCUGCAUUCUAUAUUUCUGCAUGUGAGGAAAGUGCGAAGAAUGGCUGGUAUUCGUGAUGCCAAGAGCAGAAUUGUGAGGUUAGAAUGGGUUCUUAAUUGGGUCACUUUCGUUGUAGCACGGCUGGUAUCUCAUGUGCUCAUCACCGUCAAGCUCCUCAGAGACGCACAUAAGUUUGGUCAGGGUGUCGAGCUGCCGCUUGCCUUAUUUGGGAUGGCUGGAAUGAAUUUGCUUAAUGUUUUUCUUGGCAUUGAUCUUUAUAAUGCUUUCAGGAGAGAGAAAAAUCCCCAAGGGAAUGGUCAUCGUCGCCAUCUUGAAGGAGAGAAGGAAGGCUAGAAAGAGUUGUAACUGUAUUUUUAUGUUCUAUCAUUCGUUAUAUUCUCUCUGUUCGAAAAGUCGUUGGAAAAAAAUGAACUUCGCAGUAACAAAAAACACCAAUUGGCCGAGUGGCUGAAAGAAAUGAAGAGUCUGGUAAGGUCCGAAAGAAGCCAGUCAAAGAAUGAAGAUGGAGAUAUUGAUUGAAGUCUAUCGGUCAAAGAGUCAGUGGAUGGAAGUGUGUUGGUAGCCGUGGGAUUACAUUGUGAGGAGUCUUCAGUUGCGCACACGUGGAGGCAUUAAUAUGAAUGUUAUAAAUGUAGCAGAAAUUACUACGGAGGACAUUGGUUGCAAUGACAACUUUAUUAGCUUUUAUAAUUGUAUUGUUGUUUAUAUUCAUGUUCGAUGUGUCAUCAUCUUAUUGGUGAGGACCACUUUCUGUUAGAACCCUACUGUAUGUAUGGGUAGAUGUUUUGAUAGAUCUUUUUUGCAUUAAUCGACAGUUAUUCUUCUCAA
Molecule: RNA transcript, 1588 nt
Organism: Carya illinoinensis
Lineage: Eukaryota; Viridiplantae; Streptophyta; Magnoliopsida; Fagales; Juglandaceae
Gene name: TLC domain-containing protein 2
Exons: 4
Source: RefSeq, a predicted model, not a curated record